CUGCUUAAUAGCUAGCCCAUCAAAUCAAAAAAAGAACAGAUAUUAAUUUAUCCAAACACACUAAAUUUUAGCUAAACAAACCAUUUUUCCGCUCAAGUAUGGGUGACAGAAACAGAACUACGGCGCAAUAGAGAAAGUACCGCAAGGGAACGCUGAAAGAGAAGUGAAAUAACCCAGUAAUGCUUAAAAAAGCAGAGCUGCCCCCUCGUACCUUUUGCAUCAUGACUUAGCUAGAAAUUUUCGAGCAAGGAGAACUUUAGUUUGUAACCCCGAAAUUAGGUGAGCUACUCCAAGACAGCCUAUUAAUAGGGCACACCCGUCUCUGUGGCAAAAGAGUGGGAAGAGCUUUGAGUAGAGGUGACAGACCUAUCGAACCUAAUUAUAGCUGGUUGCCUGGAAAUUGGAUAGGAGUUCAGCCUCUCGGCUUCUUAAUUCACCUGUGAACUUCACCGCCUGAUGAAAGAGAAAACCGCGAGAGUUACUCAAAGGGGGUACAGCCCCUUUGAAACAGGAUACAACCUUUCUAGAAGGAUAAAGAUCAAAUUUAUUUUAAGGCAAUAUAUACUCGUGGGCUUGAAAGCAGCCACCGUAACAGAAAGCGUUAAAGCUCAAAUAAAAUUCUAUGCCUAUUAUCACGAUAAUUAAAUCUUAAUCCCCUUUUCUCACCAGGCCUCCCCAUGUCCCCAUGGGGGCGAUUAUGCUAACAUGAGUAAUAAGAGACCCUAAUUCUCUCCUGACAUAUCUGUAAAUCGGAACGGACCCACCACCGAAACUUAACGCCCCCAUUAAAAGAGGGUUAUGAAGACAUAAAUUAAAUAACCGGAAAAACAAUCAUAAUUAAGCGUUAACCCUACACUGGUAUGUUACUAAGGAAAGACUAAAAGAAAAAGAAGGAACUCGGCAAACACAGGCCUCGCCUGUUUACCAAAAACAUCGCCUCUUGCAAGAUGAAAAAAUAAGAGGUCCCGCCUGCCCUGUGACUAUAUGUUUAACGGCCGCGGUAUUUUGACCGUGCAAAGGUAGCGCAAUCACUUGUCUUUUAAAUGGAGACCUGUAUGAAUGGCAUAACGAGGGCCUGACUGUCUCCUUUUUCUAGUCAAUGAAAUUGAUCUCCCCGUGCAGAAGCGGGGAUAAACCUAUAAGACGAGAAGACCCUAUGGAGCUUUAGACACGAUUGCAGACCAUGCUCCUACCCCCUAUUAAAGGACGAAGCUAAGUGACCCCUGCCUGAAUGUCUUUGGUUGGGGCGACCGUGGGGUAAUAAAAAACCCCCAUGUGGAAUGAAACUAAUGUUUCCGAACUAAGAGCUACCGCUCUAAGUACCAGAAAUUCUGACCAAACCAGAUCCGGUAACAACCGAUCAACGGACCGAGUUACCCUAGGGAUAACAGCGCAAUCCUCUUUCAGAGCCCAUAUCGACAAGAGGGUUUACGACCUCGAUGUUGGAUCAGGACAUCCUAAUGGUGCAGCCGCUAUUAAGGGUUCGUUUGUUCAACGAUUAAAGUCCUACGUGAUCUGAGUUCAGACCGGAGUAAUCCAGGUCAGUUUCUAUCUAUAACACGGGCUUUUCUAGUACGAAAGGACCGAAAAGAAGAGGCCCAUACUUAAAGCACGCCUCACCCCAACCUGACGAAAACAACUAAAACAGAUAAAGGGGCGUAACCCUUUGCCUGAGAAAAAAGGCAA
RNAcentral lists this ribosomal RNA (1686 nucleotides) under Cirrhitichthys aprinus (spotted hawkfish). RNAcentral's name for it is "16S rRNA". The stretch from base 97 to 1606 matches the Rfam family "Bacterial large subunit ribosomal RNA". Lineage: Eukaryota; Metazoa; Chordata; Actinopteri; Centrarchiformes; Cirrhitidae. The record is from RNAcentral.